RNAcentral lists this long non-coding RNA (1514 nucleotides) under Macaca fascicularis (crab-eating macaque). RNAcentral describes it as "lncRNA (ENSMFAG00000057360.1)". Lineage: Eukaryota; Metazoa; Chordata; Mammalia; Primates; Cercopithecidae. The record is from RNAcentral.
UUUCCUGGUUGCAAUAUCUUCUUUCUCUGAAGGUAGUUUUGUUUUCUUCUCUCUGCAUAAUUGCUGUAUCUUUCAAGUUACAAUUGACUUUAAAAAAAAAUCUUUGUAUUUCAUGGUAAUGGCUUUCCUUGGAUGUCUAGUGCUACUUGAAUGUAUGUAGACUCCUGAUUAGGAUCUGAUCUAAAUGUGCUGAUGGGAACCUCGAAGAGAAGUGGGACUUUUGACUCUGAGCCUUACUGUAUUGUGAUUUGGGUGAGCUGUUUGUUGCAUAACCUUCAAUGUCAGAAUCUGUGGGUAUUUCCUCUUGGUCUGGUUAAAUUCUCAGGGAGGAAUCUUCCAGUUUCCUGGCUGAUGCUACUUGUUCUGAGACUUUGAUGAUUCUAUGGUACACAUUGGAUUGGCUCUCAGCUUUCCCCAUUGCUAGCUUGGAAUUCAGCUUCUUGAUUCUAUUACUUCUACCUUUUCUUAUAAUUGGGAGGUGAAAAAACUAACAAACAAACAAACAAAGGUAGGGCUAUGGUGUGAGGUUAAAUUCUGGAUCCUGAUAUAAAAUUUUUAUUUCAGAAAAGAGCCACACCUGUGUAAGAAGAUGCAAGGACAUUAUGUAUGUCUAGCUGUUCAGCUAACUUUUCAGUCACUUGGGGUAAUAGGGGAAAUCCUGGAUUUCUAGAAUAGCAGAAUGUUAGAAUUGGAAGGCACCCUGGGGCUAAUAAAGCUGACACAUGUGCAGAAAAACCCCCAAGCCAAUCAGCCUAUAUUUGCUCCAGAUGGCAUUCUCUGAGCUUUGUGUUUGCCUGGCCUAAUGGACCGCUAGCUCCAGAGCCUUAAGUACACAUCUCCCAAGAGAAGAGGGGGGAGCCCAGAAGUCUGGGAUCUUGAAGGAAAGGAAACAUUAACAGGUAAUCUUCCCAAUGGAUUAUGUAUUCACAGAGGCACCAAAGCAAACGGUAUACAAGUUGCCUCAUCAGGUUUUGCCCCUUUCAGUAAAGUUCUGAAUAUUUGGAAAAGGCUUGGUCCUGGAGGGGAGGAUCAAAGCAUGAUUAUAAGGAAGAAUGAUGGAGUAACCCGUCAUCUCCCAUUGCGCUACCAAGGGUAAUGCAAGGCUAGAACCCUGAUUUCCAAACCCAUCAUUAAAACCUGUGCCAUGGGGCAAGUGAUAAAAACUAUUGUUAUAAUACUUAUAGCAGCCUUGAUUGGUAGAAUCAUGGUAAAAAAAAAAAAAAAAAAAAAAGGAACCAGAGGCUUUUAAGAUGAUCUUAGAUGUCAUUCUGGUUGUUUUUUCUCUUGUAAUUGCACUCAUGUGGAAAUAUACUGACUUGAUGCCAUACCCUCCCUUUUUGGUUUUACCAUAUUUUUUAUUUUUUAUUUUUUUACUGGAAAAUCUGCUAGACAGAUUCUAAAAGAGCUGUAACCCUAUUUUUAUAUUUUGUAUUUAAUUGUAAUUGUUUAUUUAUAUGAAUGGGCAUUAAAUUUAUGGUUUUCAAAUUUCAAAAUGUGUAAGUAUCCUCUUUUCC